Molecule: ribosomal RNA, 261 nt
Filed under: uncultured prokaryote
Description: partial 16S ribosomal RNA
Rfam family: Bacterial small subunit ribosomal RNA
Source: RNAcentral
UACGUAGGGGGCAAGCGUUAUCCGGAUUUACUGGGUGUAAAGGGAGCGCAGACGGAACUGCAAGUCUGAUGUGAAAGCCCGGGGCUCAACCGCGGGACUGCAUCGGAUACUGUGGAUCUGGAGUGCCGGAGGGGCAAGCGGAAUUCCUGGUGUAGCGGUGAAAUGCGUAGAUAUCAGGAGGAACACCUGCGGCGAAGGCGGCUUGCUGGACGGCAACUGACGUUGAGGCUCGAAAGCGUGGGGAGCAAACAGGAUUAGAUA